RNAcentral lists this ribosomal RNA (492 nucleotides) under uncultured bacterium. RNAcentral describes it as "partial 16S ribosomal RNA". It matches the Rfam family "Bacterial small subunit ribosomal RNA", at positions 28 to 507 of the family's 1533-position model. The record is from RNAcentral.
GGUGAACGCUGGCGGUGUGCCUAACACAUGCAAGUCGAACGACCGCACGAUAAGAUUUUUCUCUUGCUGUUAGCGACUGGCGGGCGGGUGAGACGUGCAUCAGAUUCUUCUUUUUCUUGGAGGAUUACGUAGGGCAGCUUACGCUAAUGCCUCAUACUUUCUACGGCUUGAAUCAAAGGUUCUUCGCGGCUUUCGCGUUUGUAUUAGCCGGUGUCGGAUUAGCUUGUUGGCUGGGUAAGGGCCCACCAAGGCAACGCUCCGUAGCAGGUCUGAGAGGAUGAUCAGCCACACUGGAACUGAGACACGGUCCAGACUCCUACGGGAGGCAGCAGUGGGGAAUAUUGGGCAAUGGGCGAAAGCCUGACCCAGCCAUACCGCGUGAGUGAAGAAGGCCUUCGGAUUGUAAAGCCCUGUUGUUGGGAAAGAAAAGCUGUAUGUGAAUACCCCGACGUUCUGACGGUACCUAAAGAAUAAGCACCGGCUAACUUCGUG